UACGGGGGGGGCAAGCGUUGUUCGGAAUUACUGGGCGUAAAGGGUUCGUAGGUGGCCAAUUAAGUCAGACGUGAAAUCCCUCAGCUUAACUGGGGAAUCUGCGUCUGAGACUGGAUGGCUUGAGUGCAGGAGAGGAACGCGGAAUUCCAGGUGUAGCGGUGAAAUGCGUAGAUAUCUGGAGGAACACCGGUGGCGAAGGCGGCGUUCUGGACUGCAACUGACACUGAGGAACGAAAGCCAGGGAGCAAACGGG
RNAcentral lists this ribosomal RNA (253 nucleotides) under uncultured bacterium. RNAcentral describes it as "partial 16S ribosomal RNA". It matches the Rfam family "Bacterial small subunit ribosomal RNA", at positions 524 to 776 of the family's 1533-position model. The record is from RNAcentral.